This is a long non-coding RNA of Cimex lectularius (bed bug), 792 nucleotides long. RefSeq lists it as uncharacterized. The transcript is spliced from 3 exons. The record is from RefSeq and is a predicted model, not a curated record. NCBI's taxonomy places the organism in Eukaryota, Metazoa, Arthropoda, Insecta, Hemiptera, Cimicidae.
AAACAGAUGACUUCGGUAUCCCUUUUUUAAAAAUAGAUCAUGCAUGAUGUACAUUUUUAGGGUCAUUUGCAUCAUCUCGGUUCGCCUAUCUUCCCAUUUUUGCUAAGUAGAUAAAACAUAAAGUACACAUAAAAAAAGCACACAGUUCUACAUCUAUGACGAAAUCAUGAAACGCAACUGAUUGACCAGUAAGAUUUUCAUGUUAUGUGAGAUGUAACUUGGAAGUGAGACUAUUUCUAAUCAUCAUGCCUAACCACGACUUUCAUGAUUUUCUAAUAACUAUAAAUAAAGUUGUUUUCGAUCAUCCUGUUUGUCUAUUUUCGCUGGUUUUACAUAUCAAACAUCAUUUCGCCAACUUCGCUGGUGAGUAAAAGUGCGAAAUGACGAAAGACCAGUCUGGUGGAGUAUAGGCAGACCUGAUCGAAGUCGGCCGACUCAUAAAAAUUAUCGACGCGGCAUAACAAAUUCGUGCAUAAUCUCUGUGUUCUAUCAGCCGUGUUGUUGAACACUUGACAUCAGUUUCGUCCCUGAAAACGUUCAAAAAAAGACGAAAGGGAGCGAGAUCCGCCGAAGACGGUGAAAAUAAUGGCCAAACCCGUCUGACCGUGACACUCGUCUGGAACAAGCGGACCACGUCGUUCGGAAAUGAUCGAACCGUCUUUGCACUCUUCAGAAAUAGGUUGACGAAGAAAGAACGUAAAUCUUACAAAAAUUUCCUCUUUUCUUUAACCAAAUUUGCAAUCUUAACAAAAAUUUUAAGAUUUCAUGGGAUUCAAAAUUGCGCAUUGUCGA